CCUACGGGUGGCUGCAGUGGGGGAUAUUGCACAAUGGGGGAAACCCUGAUGCAGCGACGCCGCGUGUAGGAAGACGGUCCUCUGGAUUGUAAACUACUGUCCCCAGGGACGAAGAUGACGGUACCUGGGGAGGAAGCUCCGGCUAACUACGUGCCAGCAGCCGCGGUAAUACGUAGGGAGCGAGCGUUGUCCGGAAUUACGGGGUGUAAGGGGAGCGUAGGCGGGGAUGCAAGUUGGGUGUUAAAUCUACCGGUGAAACUGGUAGUCGCACUCAAAACUGCAGCUCUUGAGUGAAGUAGAGGCAGGCGGAAUUCCUAGUGUAGCGGUGAAAUGCGUAGAUAUUAGGAGGAACACCAGUGGCGAAGGCGGCCUGCUGGGCUUUAACUGACGCUGAGGCUCGAAAGUGUGGGGAGCAAACAGGAUUAGAUACCCCUGUAGUC
RNAcentral lists this ribosomal RNA (440 nucleotides) under uncultured bacterium. RNAcentral's name for it is "partial 16S ribosomal RNA". It matches the Rfam family "Bacterial small subunit ribosomal RNA", at positions 338 to 795 of the family's 1533-position model. The record is from RNAcentral.